This 126-nucleotide small RNA is filed under the name Rhizobium oryziradicis. RNAcentral describes it as "Alphaproteobacterial ar14". It matches the Rfam family "Alphaproteobacterial ar14". Rfam says of the family: Smr14C2 was renamed NfeR1 (Nodule Formation Efficiency RNA) highly expressed in salt stress and during the symbiotic interaction on legume roots. The record is from Rfam by way of RNAcentral. Lineage: Bacteria; Pseudomonadati; Pseudomonadota; Alphaproteobacteria; Hyphomicrobiales; Rhizobiaceae.
GUGUUACGGGCCAGUUCACUCCUCCUCCCAGAACGGCCCGUUGGAAUGACAGCACUCCUCCUCCCAGCUGUCAUUCGGUUCUUUUCGGAAAACCUGCCGCACCUCCUCCCGCGGCAGGUUUUUCGU